Molecule: long non-coding RNA, 368 nt
Filed under: Capsicum annuum
Lineage: Eukaryota; Viridiplantae; Streptophyta; Magnoliopsida; Solanales; Solanaceae
Description: long non-coding RNA (CANN_LNC022613)
Source: RNAcentral
AGCUGGUUCAUCAUCCUCUAUCUCUACAUCCUCAUCUCCAACAUCACCCUUCUUGGGCUUUCUGAAGGAGUCAUUCUUCUCGCUUGUAGUAGGCUGCAAAAAGAACACAUUUUAGUAGUCAUUCCAAUCCGAUAAAAGCAAAGGGCACAAUUUAGAGUAGAUCAAAAGUUCAAGAGAAAAUGCAAUUUUGCAUUACCCCAUCUGCCUCCGCAACGGAUGUAGUAGCAGCAGAAGCUGCAGCACUGGCGGAUGGUGCCCCCAAAUUGUUCAUCAAUGCCUGCCUCUUGGUUUUGCUUACCAUCUUCUUCCAAUUGGUAACAAAACGAUCAAGCUCCCAUAGAGUCUCAGUGUCAAGGGCCUCAAUGUCG